UACGUAGGGUGCGAGCGUUGUCCGGAAUUAUUGGGCGUAAAGAGCUCGUAGGCGGUUUGUCGCGUCUGCUGUGAAAACUCGGGGCUUAACCCCGGGCCUGCAGUGGGUACGGGCAGACUAGAGUGCGGUAGGGGAGACUGGAAUUCCUGGUGUAGCGGUGAAAUGCGCAGAUAUCAGGAGGAACACCGGUGGCGAAGGCGGGUCUCUGGGCCGUAACUGACGCUGAGGAGCGAAAGCGUGGGGAGCGAACGGG
This 253-nucleotide ribosomal RNA is filed under the name uncultured bacterium. RNAcentral's name for it is "partial 16S ribosomal RNA". It matches the Rfam family "Bacterial small subunit ribosomal RNA", at positions 524 to 776 of the family's 1533-position model. The record is from RNAcentral.